Non-coding RNA from Lonchura striata (white-rumped munia), 796 nucleotides. The record is from RefSeq and is a predicted model, not a curated record. NCBI's taxonomy places the organism in Eukaryota, Metazoa, Chordata, Aves, Passeriformes, Estrildidae.
GAUCGCUGACCAUCUGUGCAAAAGGUGAUCAUUGUUAGGUACUCACAUGGCUGGUGGCAGAGCAGCUCUUAGCAAUUAAUAAGUCUCUCAGCUUGAGCUCUUCUUUCCCCUUUCGAAUGGCAGCGCUCUCUGCGUGGCUCGCUCUCACUCGCGCGCACACACCAAACCCGAUCUGAUGCUGCAGGACCGGCCACUUUGCGAGGGCAACAACACGGGAGGGUUUGUAUUACUCCAGUUGUGGGGGGGAAGAUGUCUACGCGAUACCGUGUGGAACUGCAGGAGGCGGGCAGGCAGGCUUCCCUGAACGUGCCCUCAUUUUGAAAGCAAGUGAAGAACAGAAAGAAAACAGGUGCCUGACAGGGCUGGCCGGGAAGAACUGCUGACCUGUCUAAAGAAAUAUAUCUGCGUCUCCCGGCAUGGCAGGACAGAUGGUGCCCGUUCGCACCGCGGCGACUUCUCUCGACGCCACACACCGAGCGGAGCCGAUGAGUGGUUUGUUUUUAUGGCAGGGAGGUAGCGAUGCUCUCGGACAUCCCGUGGCAAAGGGCUUGAUGGGAAAUGUCCACCGGGAGGGCAGGGGGGCAGCGGCACCACUCCUGCCCCGUCCCCGCGUACAUGACCUGCCGCAGGAUCGCCGAGGCAAGGGGCUUUCGGCAUCCGUGCCAGAGCCGCGCCCCUAGCUCCCUCCAAACAGGGUCUAAGGAUCGCCCCCACGCCCCUCGGCGGAGCGCCGGGCCGGGCUCACGCUGCCUUUGUGCCGCCCGCAGGAGCCCGUGUGAGGCAGCGCACCCCGAGC